UCCCUGGUGGCUCAGAUGGUAAAGCAUCUGCCUACAAUGCAGGAGACCGGGGUUCAAUCCCUGGGUUGGGAA
Molecule: transfer RNA, 72 nt
Filed under: Ovis aries (sheep)
Lineage: Eukaryota; Metazoa; Chordata; Mammalia; Artiodactyla; Bovidae
Rfam family: tRNA
About the family: Transfer RNA (tRNA) molecules are approximately 80 nucleotides in length. Their secondary structure includes four short double-helical elements and three loops (D, anti-codon, and T loops).
Source: Rfam by way of RNAcentral